GACGAACGCUGGCGGCGUGCUUAACACAUGCAAGUCGAACGGUGAAGCGCCUUCCUUUUUGGUGGGUGUGGAUGAGCGGCGAACGGGUGAGUAACACGUGAGUAACCUGCCCCCUUCUUCUGGAUAACCGCAUGAAAGUGUGGCUAAUACGGGAUAUUCUGGGUCUGUCGCAUGAUGGGUCUGGGAAAGAUAUUGUUUCGGUGGGGGAUGGGCUCGCGGCCUAUCAGCUUGUUGGGGGGGUGAUGGCCUACCAAGGCUGUGACGGGUAGCCGGCAUGAGAGGGUGGACGGUCACACUGGGACUGAGACACGGCCCAGACUCCUACGGGAGGCAGCAGUGGGGAAUAUUGCACAAUGGGCGCAAGCCUGAUGCAGCGACGCCGCGUGAGGGAUGGAGGCCUUCGGGUUGUGAACCUCUUUCGCCAGUGAAGCAGGCCUGCCUCGUUUGUGGGUGGGUUGACGGUAGCUGGAUAAGAAGCGCCGGCUAACUACGUG
RNAcentral lists this ribosomal RNA (494 nucleotides) under uncultured bacterium. RNAcentral's name for it is "partial 16S ribosomal RNA". It matches the Rfam family "Bacterial small subunit ribosomal RNA", at positions 28 to 507 of the family's 1533-position model. The record is from RNAcentral.